CGGACGGGUGAGUAAUGUCUGGGAAACUGCCCGAUGGAGGGGGGUAACUACUGGAAACGGUAGCUAAUACCGCAUAACGUCGCAAGACCGAAGAGGGGGACCUUCGGGCCUCUUGCCAUCGGAUGUGCCCAGAUGGGAUUAGCUAGUAGGUGGGGUAACGGCUCACCUAGGCGACGAUCCCUAGCUGGUCUGAGAGGAUGACCAGCCACACUGGAACUGAGACACGGUCCAG
Molecule: ribosomal RNA, 232 nt
Filed under: uncultured bacterium
Lineage: Bacteria
Description: partial 16S ribosomal RNA
Rfam family: Bacterial small subunit ribosomal RNA
Source: RNAcentral